Molecule: long non-coding RNA, 290 nt
Filed under: Nicotiana benthamiana
Lineage: Eukaryota; Viridiplantae; Streptophyta; Magnoliopsida; Solanales; Solanaceae
Description: long non-coding RNA (NBEN_LNC002100)
Source: RNAcentral
GAGGUACUUUCCUUAAACCUGACUUGGGACUGGCGCAACCAGUUCGUAUCUUAUUUGCAGGACGGGAUACUACCCCCGAUAAAAAAGAGGCGAAAAAGCUUCGCGUACAGGCUGCCCGAUACUGCAUUAUCAACGACAACCUUUAUAAAAGGACUUUCGGUGGCCCCUUAGCCAAGGGCUUAGGGCCGCAGCAAACAAGACCGGUACUCGAAGAAGUACACGAAGGACAUUGCGACGCCCACACUGGCAACCGCGCCCUCGUGAGGUGCAUCAUACGUGCCGGCUACUAC